UAGUAUACGUACCCUGAAUCACAUAUGGGUUGGCUUUGACAUCCUGUUGGGUGAGUAUGUAGACUCUACCCUAAAUUAUGGGCCUAACCUAGUUCUGAUUCCUAGUACACUCUCUCGCAAAAUGUUGGACAUUCCUACAUAUGUGACAGAUAUUGUUGAAGCGAUAAUAGGGUCAGUCGCCAUAAUCCCUUGUACAAUGUUGGCAAUUCUUGCCACGUCCCGCCAUUGAGGCCUAAGGAGGGGCCUAAGGUGUUGGCCUUGGCCUCUUGUUCUGUAAGCCUGAUGCAGUUGGUCCUGGCCUACGGUGCAAAACUGGGGGUUUAAAGUUGUUCAAUACUGAGGAAAAAGUUUGAAUAUUUCUCUCAAUCAGCUAUGCCUUGACUAAAACCACCAAAUAUGU
Molecule: long non-coding RNA, 400 nt
Filed under: Carica papaya (papaya)
Lineage: Eukaryota; Viridiplantae; Streptophyta; Magnoliopsida; Brassicales; Caricaceae
Description: long non-coding RNA (CPAP_LNC007526)
Source: RNAcentral